GACGAACGCUGGCGGCGUGCUUAACACAUGCGAGUCGAGCGGAAAGGCCCGUCGCUGUACUCGAGCGGCGAACGGGUGGGUAACUCGUGAGUAACCUGCCCCAGACUUUGUGAUAACCCUCGGACACGGGGGCUAAUGCCCGAUACGCCACAGCUUCACAGGGGGUCUUUGUGGAAAAGUGUGCGGUGUUGGAUGGGCUCGCGGCCUAUCAGCUUGCUGGGCGGGUGAUGGUUUACGAAGGCGCAGACGGGUAGGCGGCCUGUGAGUGCGACCGGCCACACGGGGACUGAGAGAGGGACCAGACUGCUACGGGAGGCAGCAGUGGGGAAUAUUGCACAACGGGCGGAAGCGUGAUGCAGCGAUGCCGCGUGCGGGAUGACGGCCUUCGGGUUGUAAACAUAUUUCAGCGGGGCUGAAGCGUAAGUGACGGUACCUGCAGAAGAAGCGACGGCCAACUACGUG
This 462-nucleotide ribosomal RNA is filed under the name uncultured bacterium. RNAcentral describes it as "partial 16S ribosomal RNA". It matches the Rfam family "Bacterial small subunit ribosomal RNA", at positions 28 to 507 of the family's 1533-position model. The record is from RNAcentral.